This 65-nucleotide small nucleolar RNA is filed under the name Lepisosteus oculatus (spotted gar). RNAcentral describes it as "Small nucleolar RNA SNORD77". It matches the Rfam family "Small nucleolar RNA SNORD77". Rfam says of the family: U77 belongs to the C/D family of snoRNAs. It is predicted to guide 2'O-ribose methylation of large 28S rRNA subunit at position A1521. The record is from Rfam by way of RNAcentral. Lineage: Eukaryota; Metazoa; Chordata; Actinopteri; Semionotiformes; Lepisosteidae.
GUACGAUGAUGGUUGCAUAGUUCAGCAGAUAUUCUUUGACGAAAAAGUUAUUAGCUGAGUUACCU